GAUGAACGCUGGCGGCGUGCCUAAUACAUGCAAGUAGAACGCUGAAGGAAGGAGCUUGCUCUUUCCGGAUGAGUUGCGAACGGGUGAGUAACGCGUAGGUAACCUGCCUGGUAGCGGGGGAUAACUAUUGGAAACGAUAGCUAAUACCGCAUAACAGUAGAUGUUGCAUGACAACUAUUUGAAAGGGGCAAUUGCUCCACUACCAGAUGGACCUGCGCUGUAUUAGCUAGUUGGUGAGGUAACGGCUCACCAAGGCGACGAUACAUAGCCGACCUGAGAGGGUGAUCGGCCACACUGGGACUGAGACACGGCCCAGACUCCUACGGGAGGCAGAAGUAGGGAAUCUUCGGCAAUGGACGGAAGUCUGACAGAGCAACGCCGCGUGAGUGAAGAAGGUUUUCGGAUCGUAAAGAUCUGUUGUAAGAGAAGAACGAGUGUGAGAGUGGAAAGUUCACACUGUGACGGUAUCUUAACAGAAAGGGACGGCUAACUACGUG
RNAcentral lists this ribosomal RNA (497 nucleotides) under uncultured bacterium. Its description in RNAcentral is "partial 16S ribosomal RNA". It matches the Rfam family "Bacterial small subunit ribosomal RNA", at positions 28 to 507 of the family's 1533-position model. The record is from RNAcentral.